RNAcentral lists this ribosomal RNA (445 nucleotides) under uncultured bacterium. RNAcentral describes it as "partial 16S ribosomal RNA". It matches the Rfam family "Bacterial small subunit ribosomal RNA", at positions 354 to 796 of the family's 1533-position model. The record is from RNAcentral.
GUGAGGAAUAUUGCGCAAUGGAGGCAACUCUGACGCAGCCAUGCCGCGUGCAGGAAGAAGGCGCUACGCGUUGUAAACUGCUUUUAACCGGGAAGAAACCCCAGGACGUGUCCUGGGUUGACGGUACCGGAGGAAUAAGCACCGGCUAACUUCGUGCCAGCAGCCGCGGUAAUACGAAGGGUGCAAGCGUUAUCCGGAUUCAUUGGGUUUAAAGGGUGCGUAGGCGGAGCGUUAAGUCAGUGGUGAAAUCCUGCAGCUUAACUGUAGACUUGCCAUUGAUACUGGCGCUCUUGAGUGCGCUUGAAGUUGGCGGAAUGUGCCGUGUAGCGGUGAAAUGCUUAGAUAUGGCACAGAACACCAAUUGCGAAGGCAGCUCACUAAGGCGAUACUGACGCUGAGGCACGAAAGCGUGGGGAUCGAACAGGAUUAGAUACCCCAGUAGUCC